RNAcentral lists this ribosomal RNA (502 nucleotides) under uncultured bacterium. Its description in RNAcentral is "partial 16S ribosomal RNA". It matches the Rfam family "Bacterial small subunit ribosomal RNA", at positions 899 to 1397 of the family's 1533-position model. The record is from RNAcentral.
ACUCAAAUGAAUAGACGGGGGUCCGCACAAGCGGUGGAACAUGUGGUUUAAUUCGACACUACGCGAGGAACCUUACCUAGGCUUGACAUGUACUUGACCGCCAUGGAAACAUGGUUUUUUGAGUCUUUGACUCAAACAGGUACACAGGUGCUGCAUGGCUGUCGUCAGCUCGUGUCGUGAGAUGUUCGGUUAAGUCCUCUAACGAGCGCAACUCUCGCCGUCAGUUGCUAUCCUUCGGGAGCACUCUGAUGGGACUGCCUAGGAAACUAGGAGGAAGGUGGGAAUGACGUCAAGUCCUCAUGGCCCUUAUGUCUAGGGCUACACACGUGUUACAAUGGCUGAUACAAAGGGUUGCAAGUUUGCAAAAACAAGCUAAUCCCAAAAAGUCAGUCUAAGUUCGGAUUGAGGUCUGCAACUCGACCUCAUGAAGUUGAAAUCGCUAGUAAUCGCGCAUCAGAACGGCGCGGUGAAUACGUUCUCGGGCCUUGUACACACCGCCCGU